This 242-nucleotide ribosomal RNA is filed under the name uncultured Prevotella sp. Its description in RNAcentral is "partial 16S ribosomal RNA". It matches the Rfam family "Bacterial small subunit ribosomal RNA", at positions 118 to 355 of the family's 1533-position model. Lineage: Bacteria; Pseudomonadati; Bacteroidota; Bacteroidia; Bacteroidales; Prevotellaceae. The record is from RNAcentral.
UAACUCCAACCUACCCAUAACUAAGGGAGUAACCCAGCGAAAGUUGGACUAAUACCUUAUGUAUUCGUUUGAUCUCAUGAGAUUACGAAUAAAGAUUUAUCGGUUAGUGGAUGGGGAUGCGUCUGAUUAGCUUGUUGGCGGGUAACGGCCCACCAAGGCAACGAUCAGUAGGGGUUCUGAGAGGAAGGUCCCCCCACAUUGGAACUGAGACACGGUCCAAACUCCUACGGGAGGCAGCAGCC